AUCUAGAGGCGUGUUUACAAUCAGCUAUGCCUUUUUACAAUGUAAUUCUAUUCUGAAGACAGAGAACAGCACACACACGGUGGCUGAGGAAGCUGACAUAAUACAAGAUGUACUGGAUCCAGUGCAGUUGGUCACAGAAAACAAAAUGACUUUCUAAACAUCAAGGUAAAAAUUGUGUUCUUAAAGCUUGAACAUGAUUCCAUGGCUUAUGUUUUCAGACAGAGCUCACUGGAAUUCUACAAAAUAAUGCACCAGCAAUGGGGGUGACUUCCCUUCUUUCCACUGGAUGACUAAUAACUUAAGAAGGAACUUCCAUGGAUAAAAAAGGGAAGAAGGGUAUUUAUCUGAAGAAGGCAUUGUGAUCUCUGAUGUACUUUUGUUUGAUCACUUAUCAAACAGACAUUUGUCCAGGUCCAAGUGGGAGAAGUAGUAUACAUACAGAAAAGAUAAGCUACUUUCUUUAAGGACAUUCAAUACAAAGAGUAAUUCUCCAAGCUGCUCAAUGUUCAUUAGUAUUUCGGUGCCGUUCCAGCUCACAAUACAAACAAGAAAAUAUUUUCACUGUUCAAGGGAGAAAUGAGAAAAAACUGAAUAAUGGAAGUCAGUAACAUCAAGGCUAUCUUCCAAGCACAGAACAGCUUUAGAGACCUGACUCGCUGUCACAAUUUUAUGACUAUGGACUGACAAAAUAUGUACCGGCUGGGAAAAGUCUUUUUUCCAGAGAACUUCAUGGAUGUCCCAGAGAAAGGUGUGAGAGACAGACAGAUGAUCUACACAGGAGUGGACUGGCUAACAAAACGGAGGUCCAUCCAUGAAAGGGAAGAGCAGGGAGGAUUUAUUCCUGGAGUUGCACAGAGAAAUGAAUAAGGAUUUGGACUGAAGGUGUAUUAUCAGUACUUGGAGCUGAACACUCUACUACCUGCUACCCUCCUCUGGGAGAGCAUCUGCAGGAGAACAGAUUCCAAAAGCAGGAUAAAUAUGGGAGCUGCUGGAGAAGAAACAUUGUCUUAUGUUUCAGCAUACCAAAUGAAGGGAAAAAUUGGUCUUGCUUACUUCUAUUCAAGAUGUUUUAUGUCUGUUAUCUUCGUGCUAAAAAAUGUCCACAUGCCUUUCCAAUCUUGCACAAACUAAUCUUCCUUCUUCUCUAUACUGCCAUGAAUUAAAAGGCUGGUAAGCUAG
This 1179-nucleotide long non-coding RNA is filed under the name Gopherus agassizii (Agassiz's desert tortoise). RNAcentral describes it as "lncRNA (ENSGAGG00000025201.1)". The record is from RNAcentral. Lineage: Eukaryota; Metazoa; Chordata; Testudines; Testudinidae.